UACAUAGGGUGCAAGCGUUGCUCGGAUUUACUGGGCGUAAAGCGUACGCAGACGGCAUGAAAGGUCGGACGUGAAAGCCCCGGGCUCAACCCGGGAAAUGCGUCCGAAACCGCCUUGCUUGAGUAUGAGAGAGGAAAGCGGAAUUCCUGGUGUAGAGGUGAAAUUCGUAGAUAUCAGGAGGAACACCGGCGGCGAAGGCGGCUUUCUGGCUCAUUACUGACGUUCAGGUACGAAAGCGUGGGUAGCAAACAGG
RNAcentral lists this ribosomal RNA (253 nucleotides) under uncultured bacterium. Its description in RNAcentral is "partial 16S ribosomal RNA". It matches the Rfam family "Bacterial small subunit ribosomal RNA", at positions 524 to 776 of the family's 1533-position model. The record is from RNAcentral.